Molecule: non-coding RNA, 124 nt
Organism: Triticum aestivum (bread wheat)
Lineage: Eukaryota; Viridiplantae; Streptophyta; Magnoliopsida; Poales; Poaceae
Source: Rfam
CAUGUACUCCCUCCGUCCGGAAAUACUUGCUGCAUAAAUAGAUGAAAUUGGAUGUAUCUAAAACUAAAAUACGUCUAGAUGAAUCUAUUUCCCGACAAAUAUUUCUGAACGGAGGGAGUACUAC